GGGAGUGGUGACACUCGAGCUCAAGGAUCGCAAGCGGUGGUGCUAGGGCUACAAUGAGGGAGAUGAAGGGGUCGAAUCCUCAGGUGAAACGGAAGGGAUGUAUUACUCCAUUAUUUAUAACCGCAACAUAGCUAAACCGAGGCGAGAUUAACGGGGAAUAUUCUGUUUUUAAAAUCUUGAAGUUAUCGUUUCACAGUUUCCAAUUUUUUCGAAAGAGAUAAGGUUUGUGUUGGUGAACGGUCAUGUUGACUGGUGGUUGACCGUUAUACCCAAACUAGUCGUAUAACAGCUCGGGGGCUGUGUCCCACAUGCCAAUCGGCUAAAAAGUUUUUUCUUUAGGUUUUAAGGUAAAAGAGAUGUGAAAUUACAAGAUUGACCCUCAGCCUGAUUCUUCGAUUCAACCUAAGGCUCAGGGGCUACUCCAUAUGGAGUGCGAUUUGCAUCGCACUUCCAUAUAAAAUUCAAGAUUGAAGAUUCAAGAUCAAGUUAAAUGCGGC
This 497-nucleotide long non-coding RNA is filed under the name Setaria viridis. RNAcentral's name for it is "long non-coding RNA (SVIR_LNC004562)". The record is from RNAcentral. Lineage: Eukaryota; Viridiplantae; Streptophyta; Magnoliopsida; Poales; Poaceae.